UCUCCCGAGUCAACUAAACAGGAGCCGAGACAUAAUCUUCAAAUGUUGAUUGUGAUGAUGCCAAACAUUUAUGGAUGUUGAUACACCCGGAGCAGGCAAUAAUUUCUUCCAAAUCAAGUGAUGCAUCAUGCAUUCCUCAUAUGCAGUGAAGAGGCAUACGGAAACAUGCACCUGGUGCAGCUGGGAAAUAUAAUUCUCUGAUCUUUCUCCUCCUGGGGUUCAUGGCGGAUAAAAGCUGAACUACCUGAUGCUUAUCCUUGCAAGUUCCCAUCUAUUGGCUUUGUGAACAAAAUUUAUUACCCAAAUGAAGCGAAGCUCGGGCCCUACACUAGUGCACAAGAAGUUGGAAUGAUGCAUAGAACAUGGUUAAAAAGUAUUCAAGACGACCCGACACAUCAAUCUACUGUAAGCCACGGAAGCAAACUAAUAUAGAGCAAAGUUAGAAAUAUGUGAGGUCUGACUUGCAUACUAGACAAGCCAAAACCAGCACAGAUUUCUGGGCUGAUUAAUUGGGUGACAAUCACAAGAUUUAGUUGACGAAUCUAACAAAAAACUGCUAUUUAGGAAAUUCCUGUCCUUUUUGAAAUUCUUUUUUUUUUUUUGGUUAUGCGAUGCCUGUGAGGAUUUAAGUGGUUGGUUAACCAGAAGUCCAGACUUCAGAUGAGAACUAUUCUAACUAUUUGGGAAGUAUUUUAGUGACAUAAGAGAAUAGGAAACAAGUUCAUGUAUUAUGUGCAAUUUAUGUAUGAAAUUGGGCAAAUUUCUGUGGUUUUCUUAAAGUAUUAUCAACAACCAAGUGCAUUUCGAGGAGAUCAAA
This is a long non-coding RNA of Ananas comosus (pineapple), 817 nucleotides long. RefSeq lists it as uncharacterized. The record is from RefSeq and is a predicted model, not a curated record. The transcript has 4 exons. NCBI's taxonomy places the organism in Eukaryota, Viridiplantae, Streptophyta, Magnoliopsida, Poales, Bromeliaceae.